GUUCGACAAGGGCAAACCCGGCGAAAGCCGGCGACGCAAAGCCAUGGGUCUAAGGGUCUGCAUCCAACGCAGGCCUAUGAUUGCCAGGCUGCCGAA
Molecule: non-coding RNA, 96 nt
Filed under: Thermanaerothrix daxensis
Lineage: Bacteria; Bacillati; Chloroflexota; Anaerolineae; Anaerolineales; Anaerolineaceae
Description: c-di-GMP sequence
Rfam family: c-di-GMP-I riboswitch aptamer
About the family: GEMM was predicted in a large-scale screen for bacterial structured RNA regulatory elements. Genes associated with GEMM are involved in a diverse array of functions, including chemotaxis regulation, signal transduction, secretion and chitin.
Source: Rfam by way of RNAcentral